GGGAGGUAGUGACAAUAAAUAACAAUACGGGGUUCUUUAGGAUCUCGUAAUUGGAAUGAGUACAAUUUAAAUCUCUUAACGAGGAACAAUUGGAGGGCAAGUCUGGUGCCAGCAGCCGCGGUAAUUCCAGCUCCAAUAGCGUAUAUUAAAGUUGUUGCAGUUAAAAAGCUCGUAGUUGAAUUUCGGGGUCAGUAGGUUGGUCGUGCCACCGGUACGUACUGGUCUCACUGAUUCCUCCUUCCUGAUGAGCUGUAAUGCCAUUAAUUUGGUGUUGCAGGGAAUCUGGACUGUUA
RNAcentral lists this ribosomal RNA (293 nucleotides) under uncultured Glomeraceae. RNAcentral's name for it is "partial 18S ribosomal RNA". It matches the Rfam family "Eukaryotic small subunit ribosomal RNA", at positions 459 to 754 of the family's 1831-position model. The record is from RNAcentral. Lineage: Eukaryota; Fungi; Glomeromycota; Glomeromycetes; Glomerales; Glomeraceae.